UCUAGGAGUUGUCAGAUUAAACCCCCAGACCCACGAGAAAAUCCCUGAAGCCUCGUUGUCUUUUGUUGAUGGAGCCUCUCUGAAGGGCAAAUUCAAAGUGCAGCUGGGUGCUGCAGCACUGGAGUGCGAACUUGUGGCUGUGGUUAUGAAGGAGCCUAGGCAGCUAUGCCUUUAGCCCCUGGUGAAGCAGUGCCAGUCACACUUUGCCAGUCAAAUGGAGAGGCAGCAGUAGUAAGACCAGACCAAAUCAAACCAAACCAAGCAAACCACAGGGGAAUGGAG
This 282-nucleotide long non-coding RNA is filed under the name Pongo abelii (Sumatran orangutan). Its description in RNAcentral is "lincRNA". The record is from RNAcentral. Lineage: Eukaryota; Metazoa; Chordata; Mammalia; Primates; Hominidae.